Long non-coding RNA from Myotis davidii, 1304 nucleotides. RefSeq lists it as uncharacterized. Lineage: Eukaryota; Metazoa; Chordata; Mammalia; Chiroptera; Vespertilionidae. The record is from RefSeq and is a predicted model, not a curated record. The transcript is spliced from 2 exons.
UUGGCAAUGAGAAGAAAACUACACAGACUCAGCUGCCAUCAGAGGAGAUGUAUGCCUCUCCAUUCACGAGUGCCCUUCCCCUGAGAUCUUCUUUUACUGACUUCACCUGGUCUGCCAGAAGAAGAGGAUUGAAGGAAAAAUACCCACCCACACAAUCGUGUGCUUGCUUGUUCCUAUAUGAAAAGGAAUCCUUUGAAAGGACCUGAGAUGUCUUAUUAGUUUCACAAGAUUCUCUUCUUCUGUUUUCUUUUUAGAGGGAAAAUAACAUGAAUUGAAAAGCAAUUAUAGUCUGAAGCACAGUUAUUACCUGCAUUAAAAAAUCUCUCAUCUUUUCUGCACAUUAUAAUUCUUACAUGGGUUAGCAAGAAAAAUACUUUGUAAUGUCUUUGGACUUUUGAAUAGUAAAAAGUGCAAGAAAAUAAAAUUUGGCUUUCAUAGUCCUAUAAUCCUCAAAAAUAUUAAAAUAAUGUUGUAUAUGUUUGAAUGAUUAUUUUUAAAAAUGCUAGAUCUGGAAUCAAUUUCAAAGACUAUUUGUCUUUGCAGAAGAGAAAAUAAUUGGUUCAUCGGUUACUUAUAUAAAAAGACUAAGAAAGAAGCUAUUAAUUGCUACCAGUUUUAUAUUAUAGGCUUUAAUGUUUAUGAAAGAAUUUUUAUUUUGAAUAAUAUUCACUUAAAGUUGUAAAAGGACGUUUGAAAUACUGAUUGUAGCUCAUUUUAUUUUAAAACUGAAAUGUUCAUUUCUGAAUCUUUUUCUCAUCAUGUAAUUACAAGAAGCCAGUGUUUGAUUUCCUUUGAAGUUCUGUUUAUUGUCCUUGAUUCACUUGUAUACCAGUAGUUUCUUAAAAGGCUCACUUAAAGUUGACAUUUAAAAUAUAGUUAUGCCAAUGAAGUUCCCACUGGACAAUAUCUAACAUGAGUGCUCAUCAUUCUGCUAGGCUCUGUUGUGGUGCUGUUCAACCUGUGGUGGUGAGACUUGUUAAAAAAAAAAUCAGGAAUUUAGGAAUAUGAAUGAUUACCCAACAAGGACAUUACCCUGUCUAAUUCUGAAUUGUAUGGAUAAUUAGAUGUUCCCAAAUUAUUGAAUAUGCUCUUAAUUUGUAUUUAUUGAAAGACUGUUAACUCGGUGUCAUAAAAUUUCUAUUAUUUUGCUAUAAAUUAAUUCAGGUAUAAAAUUUACAAAUUCAUAUCAUGAUUAAAAUUUUUACUUUGUACAAAAGUAGGAGGAGACCUAAACUAUUAACUUUUAUUGUGCAAAAAUAACAGGUUGGGAUUGAUAAAUAAAGAACUUGAUAUAGAAAUUCUGA